UGAGGAAUAUUGGUCAAUGGACGGAAGUCUGAACCAGCCAAGUAGCGUGCAGGAAGACGGCCCUAUGGGUUGUAAACUGCUUUUAUACGAGAAUAAUUUGAUGCACGUGUGCGUUAUUGCAUGUAUCGUAUGAAUAAGGACCGGCUAAUUCCGUGCCAGCAGCCGCGGUAAUACGGAAGGUCCAGGCGUUAUCCGGAUUUAUUGGGUUUAAAGGGAGUGUAGGCGGUUUGUUAAGCGUGUUGUGAAAUUUAGGUGCUCAACAUUUAACUUGCAGCGCGAACUGUCAGACUUGAGUACACGCAACGUAUGCGGAAUUCAUGGUGUAGCGGUGAAAUGCUUAGAUAUCAUGAAGAACUCCGAUUGCGAAGGCAGCAUACGGGAGUGUAACUGACGCUUAAGCUCGAAGGUGCGGGUAUCGAACAGGAUUAGAUACCCUGGUAGUCCGCACAGUAAACGAUGGAUGCCCGCUGUUAGCGCCUGGCGUUAGCGGCUAAGCGAAAGCAUUAAGCAUCCCACCUGGGGAGUACGCCGGCNCGGU
Molecule: ribosomal RNA, 538 nt
Filed under: uncultured bacterium
Lineage: Bacteria
Description: bacterial SSU rRNA
Rfam family: Bacterial small subunit ribosomal RNA
Source: RNAcentral